GAUGAACGCUAGCGGCAGGCCUAACACAUGCAAGUCGAACGGUAACAUGAGUAGCAAUACUUGAUGACGAGUGGCGCACGGGCGCGUAACGCGUAUGCAACUUACCUCUAACUGGAGAAUAGCCUUCCGAAAGGAAGAAUAAUACUCCAUAAUAUUACGAUGUGGCAUCACAUUGUUCUUAAAGCUUCGGCGGUUAGAGAUGGGCAUGCGUCUGAUUAGCUUGUUGGUGAGGUAACGGCUCACCAAGGCAACGAUCAGUAGGGGGCCUGAGAGGGUUAUCCCCCACACUGGUACUGAGACACGGACCAGACUCCUACGGGAGGCAGCAGUGAGGAAUAUUGGUCAAUGGACGAAAGUCUGAACCAGCCAUGCCGCGUGCAGGAUGAAUGCCCUAUGGGUUGUAAACUGCUUUUAUAUAGGAAUAAACCCCUUUACGUGUAAAGGGCUGAAGGUACUAUAAGAAUAAGGACCGGCUAACUCCGUGCCAGCAG
This 491-nucleotide ribosomal RNA is filed under the name uncultured bacterium. Its description in RNAcentral is "bacterial SSU rRNA". It matches the Rfam family "Bacterial small subunit ribosomal RNA", at positions 28 to 514 of the family's 1533-position model. The record is from RNAcentral.